RNAcentral lists this ribosomal RNA (461 nucleotides) under Debaryomyces hansenii. Its description in RNAcentral is "partial large subunit ribosomal RNA". It matches the Rfam family "Eukaryotic large subunit ribosomal RNA", at positions 138 to 604 of the family's 3401-position model. The record is from RNAcentral. Lineage: Eukaryota; Fungi; Ascomycota; Pichiomycetes; Serinales; Debaryomycetaceae.
CCGAGUUGUAAUUUGAAGAAGGUAACUUUGGAGUUGGCUCUUGUCUAUGUUCCUUGGAACAGGACGUCACAGAGGGUGAGAAUCCCGUGCGAUGAGAUGCCCAAUUCUAUGUAAAGUGCUUUCGAAGAGUCGAGUUGUUUGGGAAUGCAGCUCUAAGUGGGUGGUAAAUUCCAUCUAAAGCUAAAUAUUGGCGAGAGACCGAUAGCGAACAAGUACAGUGAUGGAAAGAUGAAAAGAACUUUGAAAAGAGAGUGAAAAAGUACGUGAAAUUGUUGAAAGGGAAGGGCUUGAGAUCAGACUUGGUAUUUUGCGAUCCUUUCCUUCUUGGUUGGGUUCCUCGCAGCUUACUGGGCCAGCAUCGGUUUGGAUGGUAGGAUAAUGACUAAGGAAUGUGGCUCUACUUCGGUGGAGUGUUAUAGCCUUGGUUGAUACUGCCUGUCUAGACCGAGGACUGUGUCUUA